UAAUGAUACUGAACACUAAUAGUAACUCUUGAGACAUACACUUUUCAACAAAUAUAAAUAUAAAAAUGGUUUGUUUUCAUGUCUUUUUAAUAUUACUAGUUUUUAAAUCAACUUUUUCUGAAUACUGUUUCAUUAAAUAUGAAUAUUUUUACGACUAAAUAUUUGACGCACAAUUAUUUGAAUGAUUCAUCAGGUAGGAAUAACAAGUAUGAAAAAGCCAGCUCCAAGCCUUAAAAAUUUUUAAACUAAAAUAAUUUUCUAAAAUGAGUACCGCUUUUUCUUAAAACUCUAUAAACUUUGGAAGGUUACUCGAACCAAACUUGGAUAAACAUACGAAAGAAGAGAUCCGUAAAAAUGCAGGAAUCGGAAAAGAACCCUAAUUGUGUA
This is a non-coding RNA of Schizosaccharomyces pombe (fission yeast), 387 nucleotides long. Lineage: Eukaryota; Fungi; Ascomycota; Schizosaccharomycetes; Schizosaccharomycetales; Schizosaccharomycetaceae. The record is from the annotation of a GenBank genome assembly.